Gopherus evgoodei (Goodes thornscrub tortoise) is the source of this 1515-nucleotide long non-coding RNA. RefSeq lists it as uncharacterized. The record is from RefSeq and is a predicted model, not a curated record. The transcript has 3 exons. Lineage: Eukaryota; Metazoa; Chordata; Testudines; Testudinidae.
UGACAGAGCCUGGGUUUGGCCUGACACGGCUGUCCCUGAAGGCAGGGCAGAAGCACUGGGGGAUGGUGGGGGAUACUCCAGUCCAACUAGAGCAGCAAUCACGGUGAUAUUUAUUUGCACUUCAGUGGUGCAGAGUGAUAAUAGCAGUGAAAACCCCUGUGCGCUAUUGUGAGCCUUUGGCGUGUGGAUAUGGGGUGUGUUGCAAACAGGACAGGUAACUGCAGUGCCAAAUUCCUGUAAGACACGUAAGGUUUACGGGGAGGGAUCCAGCAGGGCAGGCCUGGGCAUUGGAUGAUGGUUGCAAUGCAGGCCUUUUAAAAAGCUGCAAGGCAAAGCCGCAGGCUGCUGUUGGUUCAGAGCCUGUUGCCUAUCUCUCCCACCUGGAUAGGCCCCCUCCUCAAAGCACACACAAGGGAACCAAACUGCAGCCGAUGGGCCUUGCUCUGUCCUGAAGAUGUGCCCGACAGAUGUAAAAAGCGCCCUGCUCGUGUUCAGCAGGGCCACACUCACCUACAAAACAGUCUGGGAGGACGAAGGCUACCAGUCUCUGCUUUCCUAGCACAACUGGUUUUUCUCAGGAGGCCUACGAACACAACCCGAAACCCAGGGAGAAGGGGCUUGUUGCAGAGCAUUCAUCUCAGCCUGUCACUUUAUCUCGUGAACUUGGACUGGGGGCUUGUUCUGUGUUGUCCCCAUUUUAAUCCCUUGCCCUGGAGGCCGCAUACUGCCCAGCUCCUCUGCUGUGGGUCUUCACAGAAACUUGUCAAUGCCACCCUUCAGUCAGCCAGAGGAGACACUGUUGAGCUAUGCAAAGCAUUCCCUGCUCCCCAGCACCUGGAGACAAGCAGGAUAUUCUCUGUGGCAAUGACUUAGGGCUGCAAAGAGACCUCUGUUUUCACACAGUGGCUGCUUCUACACUGGCAAAGCUGGAGACAUUCACUACCCCACCCCCCUUCUCACUACUGCAGGACUGCUGGUGGAAGUGAGAGCUGUAGACAGGGCUCAGGAGGAAGGGCUUUAGGAACUGAAUGCUGGGGGAGUUAGCCUUGUUUGACAAAAAGGUGUGAAAUGAGGGUAAUGCAAUGCUGCUGCUGCCAGAUUGUCUUCCCCUUUUGGCAUAAAGGGCACUGAAGACCAGGAAGGUUUUGCAAAAACAAAGGAAUUUUUAAAAAAUUCUAAACUUGCUUGUUACAGAAAUAAAACAGAAGUGAAACUAGGAACUGUUUUAAUCAUGGAAGCUCCAGUCACUUAUCUCCUAGUCUGUUACCAAAACCCCUCAGUUCACUUUGAUCUCACUGCAGUCCAGGCAUUAUCCUAUAUGUAUCUGGUCUGAAAUAUUGAUGGCAAGUGAAUGUUUUAUGAGCCAAACUUUAGAGGCAGGUGUAUGGUACAGUGCCUAAUUCUGCAGGCAGAGGCACACAGAGGAAGGAAAGGCUACAGGGGUUAAGACCAGAAUUAAUAACUUCCCCUGAACCCAAGAGUGAAACUCUAAAACAAGGAGUUCAGUGGCACCUU